GCACGAUACUGGGAGUCCAGGCGCCAGGGGAGGGGGAAGGGAAAAGGGGAAACGGUGCAAACGGCGUGGCCGCCAUCUUGCUUGUGCCCCCGCUUCGCGCGCGCUCCGUUCUCCGUGACGCACACUUCCCCCUCCCCUCCGCCGCGCCUGGGCCUCUGCAUUGCCCGACUCCGUAGGAGCGCGGGGGCGGCUCCUGCUCUUCCUGGACUCCUGAGCAGAGUUGUCGAGAUGUCCACAGAAGGAGGAUUUGGUGGUACUAGCAGCAGUGAUGCCCAGCAAAGCCUACAGUCGUUCUGGCCUCGGGUCAUGGAAGAAAUCCGGAAUUUAACAGUGAAAGACUUCCGAGUGCAGGAACUCCCACUGGCUCGUAUUAAGAAGAUUAUGAAACUGGAUGAAGAUGUGAAGAUGAUCAGUGCAGAAGCGCCUGUACUCUUUGCCAAGGCAGCCCAGAUUUUUAUCACAGAGUUGACUCUUCGAGCCUGGAUUCACACAGAAGAUAACAAGCGCCGGACUCUGCAGAGAAAUGAUAUCGCCAUGGCAAUUACAAAAUUUGAUCAGUUUGAUUUUCUCAUCGAUAUUGUUCCAAGAGAUGAACUGAAACCUCCAAAGCGUCAGGAGGAGGUGCGCCAGUCUGUAACUCCUGCUGAGCCAGUCCAGUACUAUUUCACGCUGGCUCAGCAACCCACCGCUGUCCAAGUCCAGGGCCAGCAGCAAGGCCAGCAGACCACCAGCUCCACGACCACCAUCCAGCCUGGGCAGAUCAUCAUCGCACAGCCUCAGCAGGGCCAGGUCUGUGAGCUGCUGAGGAUGCCCAUCCAGCAAGACAGUGCCCCUUAGGUUUUUGGAUGGGCAGAGCUUGAUGAGGGCAGAGAGGCAGCCAGAUCAUUAUAGAGCACUGGAUUUAAAGUCUGGAAACUGGAACUUUUCCCCAGAUUCAGCUACU
RNAcentral lists this small RNA (943 nucleotides) under Pan troglodytes (chimpanzee). Its description in RNAcentral is "retained intron". Lineage: Eukaryota; Metazoa; Chordata; Mammalia; Primates; Hominidae. The record is from RNAcentral.